GGGGGAUAUUGCACAAUGGGGGAAACCCUGAUGCAGCGACGCCGCGUGGAGGAAGAAGGUUUUCGGAUUGUAAACUCCUGUCGUUAGGGACGAUAAUGACGGUACCUAACAAGAAAGCACCGGCUAACUACGUGCCAGCAGCCGCGGUAAAACGUAGGGUGCAAGCGUUGUCCGGAAUUACUGGGUGUAAAGGGAGCGCAGGCGGGAAGACAAGUUGGAAGUGAAAACCAUGGGCUCAACCCAUGAAUUGCUUUCAAAACUGUUUUUCUUGAGUAGUGCAGAGGUAGAUGGAAUUCCCGGUGUAGCGGUGGAAUGCGUAGAUAUCGGGAGGAACACCAGUGGCGAAGGCGGUCUACUGGGCACCAACUGACGCUGAGGCUCGAAAGCAUGGGUAGCAAACAGGAUUAGAUACCCUGGUAGUCCAUGCCGUAAACGAUGAUUACUAGGUGUUGGGGGAUUGACCCCCUCAGUGCCGCAGUUAACACAAUAAGUAAUCCACCUGGGGAGUACGACCGCAAGGUUGAAACUCAAAGGAAUUGACGGGGGCCCGCACAAGCAGUGGAGUAUGUGGUUUAAUUCGAAGCAACGCGAAGAACCUUACCAGGUCUUGACAUCCGAUGCAUAGCACAGAGAUGUGUGAAAUCCUUCGGGACAUCGAGACAGGUGGUGCAUGGUUGUCGUCAGCUCGUGUCGUGAGAUGUUGGGUUAAGUCCCGCAACGAGCGCAACCCUUAUUGCCAGUUACUACGUUAAGAGGACUCUGGCGAGACUGCCGUUGACAAAACGGAGGAAGGUGGGGAUGACGUCAAAUCAUCAUGCCCUUUAUGACCUGGGCUACACACGUACUACAAUGGCGUUAAACAAAGAGAAGCAAGACCGCGAGGUGGAGCAAAACUCAAAAACAACGUCUCAGCUCAGAUUGCAGGCUGCAACUCGCCUGCAUGAAGUCGGAAUUGCUAGUAAUCGCGGAUCAGCAUGCCGCGGUGAAUACGUUCCCG
This 997-nucleotide ribosomal RNA is filed under the name uncultured organism. RNAcentral's name for it is "bacterial SSU rRNA". It matches the Rfam family "Bacterial small subunit ribosomal RNA", at positions 356 to 1376 of the family's 1533-position model. The record is from RNAcentral.